UGAGAAAUUAGGGUUUCUCUGCAGAGAAAUGGCGUUGGCCAGUCGCAUCCGAUCCACCAUCCCUGCCCUCAGUAAGUUUUGGAGAUCCGAAUCCUCAUGCACUCCGCUCUCAAGGACUUAUGCCGCUACAUCAGGGAAAAAUGAAGGAAAAGUGAAGGUGCCUAUUGCUUUGUUUGGAGGGUCUGGAAACUAUGCCUCUGCUCUGUAUCUAGCUGCAGUAAAAGCUAAUUCUUUAGAAAAGGUGGAGUCUGAGCUUGUUAACCUUGUUGAGGCUAUUAAGAAAAGCCCUACAUUUUCUCAGUUCACAAUGGACCUGUCAGUUCCAGCGGAAACUAGAGUUAAGGCUAUCAACGAAAUUUCUGCUGAAGCUAAAUUUUCAGACACUGUAAAGAACUUUUUGGUUGUGCUGGCUGAGAAUGGGAGGCUGAGAUAUGUAGAUAGCAUAGCAAAGAGAUUUUUGGAGUUGACCAUGGCUCAUAAGGGAGAAGUUAAAGCAGUUGUUACAACUGUUAUUCCCAUUCCAGCACAAGAAGAGAAAGAGUUGAAGGAGACAUUGCAAGAUAUAAUUGGACAAGGCAAGAAGGUUAAGCUCGAGCAGAAGAUUGA
RNAcentral lists this unclassified non-coding RNA (606 nucleotides) under Hevea brasiliensis (rubber tree). The record is from RNAcentral. Lineage: Eukaryota; Viridiplantae; Streptophyta; Magnoliopsida; Malpighiales; Euphorbiaceae.